RNAcentral lists this ribosomal RNA (635 nucleotides) under Escherichia coli. RNAcentral's name for it is "partial 23S ribosomal RNA". It matches the Rfam family "Bacterial large subunit ribosomal RNA", at positions 2252 to 2881 of the family's 2925-position model. The record is from RNAcentral. Lineage: Bacteria; Pseudomonadati; Pseudomonadota; Gammaproteobacteria; Enterobacterales; Enterobacteriaceae.
CAGUGUCUGGUGGGUAGUUUGACUGGGGCGGUCUCCUCCUAAAGAGUAACGGAGGAGCACGAAGGUUGGCUAAUCCUGGUCGGACAUCAGGAGGUUAGUGCAAUGGCAUAAGCCAGCUUGACUGCGAGCGUGACGGCGCGAGCAGGUGCGAAAGCAGGUCAUAGUGAUCCGGUGGUUCUGAAUGGAAGGGCCAUCGCUCAACGGAUAAAAGGUACUCCGGGGAUAACAGGCUGAUACCGCCCAAGAGUUCAUAUCGACGGCGGUGUUUGGCACCUCGAUGUCGGCUCAUCACAUCCUGGGGCUGAAGUAGGUCCCAAGGGUAUGGCUGUUCGCCAUUUAAAGUGGUACGCGAGCUGGGUUUAGAACGUCGUGAGACAGUUCGGUCCCUAUCUGCCGUGGGCGCUGGAGAACUGAGGGGGGCUGCUCCUAGUACGAGAGGACCGGAGUGGACGCAUCACUGGUGUUCGGGUUGUCAUGCCAAUGGCACUGCCCGGUAGCUAAAUGCGGAAGAGAUAAGUGCUGAAAGCAUCUAAGCACGAAACUUGCCCCGAGAUGAGUUCUCCCUGACUCCUUGAGAGUCCUGAAGGAACGUUGAAGACGACGACGUUGAUAGGCCGGGUGUGUAAGCGCAGCGA